AUUAUCUAUUUACAAUUAAAUAAACAAAGUGCUAUGACUCGACCUCUAACAGCGGAGUGACUUGGAAUGAAAUGCUACGACAUGCCUUUACCUAUCUGCGGUAGACUAUAAGUGCCGAUGAUUGCACGCUAGGCCGAUCACUAUUUAUAAAAGGGAAAUGAAAAGGUGAGUCCCACAGACUCAGUGAUCAUCAGCUCUGUGAGCAAGGAGUAGAUGGGAAACAAGCAAUAAGCAGAUCAUUUGAAUGAUAAAAUCAGAGUAUGAAAUACUAAUCUUAUAAACCAAAUCACAAUAAGGAUAUUUGUGCAUUGUAAAAAUAAUAUUGUAAAAUCAUAAUACAAUGCUUUCUUCAGCAAAACAGUGCCAAAAAUAAGUGUAACAGAAAGAGUUUCAAUAAUUAAAAACAUCAUUGUCAUCAAAAUAUAAAAUACAGUACAAAGGUAAGCACGCUCCCAAAAUGUGUGGCAUGUAAAGAAAGCAAAGUGUAUGGCCACCUAAAUCAACUCAUGGUUGUCAAGUAAGCACUGAAAGCUUUUAAUUAAAAAAUGGGAGCUGGAGAGAAAAUCUUAACUCUCCACCAUGUAAAAGAGUACGUGUUGAAAACUCACAAGGCUUUUGAGUAGGAAAGUAUAAUAUCAACACGUGGACCCAUUUUCACGUAAUAACAAUCCGAGAGUCUUACUCCACCGGAUUCCCAUAGACAUGGCAAUCUCCAUGAUGUUGUCUGACAUCGGAGAAUCAAGCGGUCACUACCACGCACAUUCGGGAGUCUCACUCUACCGGAUCACUUGUGGCUUAGCCAUAUAUACAUAUCAUAGGUCGUGGCCCCUGUCACGCCUAACCGCCAGUCAGUGACCUAAAGGUUUUCUAGAUAGAGCUCAUUCGUGCAUGAAGGUCACAAUUAACCGAAGUGAUAGUCGGUCUACUUUUGACGCACUUGGUUUGUCAAAAGCAUCUUCAAAAAUCAAAUCGAGGUUUCCAAGUCUUUUGCUUCAAACCAUUUGAAACCAAGGUUCAAUAACCUUUCAAAUGACUUUUCACAUAAAAAAGGCAUGGUGUAUUCUCUUAUACAAAGAUCGGAUUAAAACCGGUGCUCAAAACUUGCAUUUUAAAUCAUUUAACUAUUUCAUUUAAACUAUGCAUAUCACCCACAAAUACAAGGCACAGAUUUUGAAUGCAAACAGUAUAAAAGGCUUGUUUCCCAAUUUCUAAAACACUUUACGUAUAUAACUAAUCUAUGGAUAUAUCCAAAACAAUUUUCAAAACAACUUGCAUCCAUAAUUUCCUACGAGUUCUACCAGCUCAUGCUUUCCACAAUAACAGUGUAUAAAUCAUUAUAAAUCCAUUUAGAAAUCGCCUAUUGAGGCUAACAGCUCAUGCUUUCCACAAUUGCAUUUAAUGAAAUCUAGCAACGUUUAUAAAACAUAUAACAUUAUACAGCUAUGGAAAUUUUUGAAAUAGGCACCCCUUACUCACCUUACAAUAGCGGGACGUUUCGUCGCUAUUGAUUCAGGUGCGUAUCUUGCUAUUUCUACUUGCCGGUCACACGCUACUUCACCUGGCAUGCCACCACGGUAAACUUUUCUACUUAUAUACUUCCUAGCAACAAUCCCAAUUCAAUAAUCUUAGUGUUUAUCAUUCCCAUUUUCCUCCUUAUUCAAACAUUACCAUCAUGUUAAUAACUCAUACUAUGCUACAAUCACCACUUUUCCUCACUUAACGUUGCAUAUUCAUAUCCAUCUCGACACAUUUUUACCAAAGUUUUCUUUAUCCUUUGCUUGCUUAAUUCUUUAAAUUAUAAUUAUCGGUAACUUAUUUAUGACUUUAGCACCCAUAUUAACCUUUUCCAGCCAUUUCAUUCAAAUUCGUUUUAUUUUUUCACACAUAACCCACAUAUAUGGCAACAACAAUCAUUAUCACUUUCACUCAAUUGUUUCCAAGUUUACAUGCAUCAUUAUCUAUCUAACUUUCAAUACUUUGUUUCUCAAUCCUCCAUCCACAAUAUUCGUUUUUCAUUUCUUUCAAACAACAUGCCAUACAAACUUAACAAUUUUCAACUAACUUACGCAAAUAGAUCCUUUCAACAACCAUAAUUCCUCACAAUAUUCAACUAACCGUAGGCUUUAAAACAUAGUGUUAAGCUUACCGUUUUCUUUUUCCAUUUUGAGUCCAUCAUGUACCCAUGGGUUUGUUGCCUUGUAUGUCACGACCCGGUACUCUCCUCGAGUUCGUAACAACCG
RNAcentral lists this long non-coding RNA (2240 nucleotides) under Theobroma cacao (cacao). Its description in RNAcentral is "long non-coding RNA (TCAC_LNC001975)". Lineage: Eukaryota; Viridiplantae; Streptophyta; Magnoliopsida; Malvales; Malvaceae. The record is from RNAcentral.